Long non-coding RNA from Apodemus sylvaticus (European woodmouse), 650 nucleotides. RefSeq lists it as uncharacterized. The transcript is spliced from 3 exons. Lineage: Eukaryota; Metazoa; Chordata; Mammalia; Rodentia; Muridae. The record is from RefSeq and is a predicted model, not a curated record.
GUGUUUUGUUCUAGGUGUGUCUGUGUGCAGUUUGUGUGCUGCUCUAGGUUGUGUCUGUGUGCAGUCUGUGUGCUGCUCUAGGUUGUGUCUGUGGGCAGUUUGUGUGUUGUUCUAGGCUGUGUCUGUGUGCAGUUUGUGUGCUGCUCUAGGCUGUGUCUGUGUGCAGUUUGUGUGCUGCUCUAGGUGUGUCUGUGUGCAGUGUGUGUGUUGUUCUAGAUUGUGUCUGUGUGCAGUUUGUGUGCUGCUCUAGGCUGUGUCUGUGUGCAGUUUGUGUGCUGCUCUAGGUGUGUCUGUGUGCAGUUUGUGUAUUGUUCUAGAUUGUGUCUGUGUGCAGUUUGUGUGUUGUUCUAGGUUGUGUUUGUGCGCAGUUUAUGUGCUGCUCUAGGCUGUGUCUAUGUGCAGUUUGUGAGCUGUUGUAGGUUGUGUCUGUGUGCGGUUUGGGUGCUGCUCGAGGCUGUGUCUAUGGGCAGUUUUAUCACAUCUUACCUUGAAGACCACAGAAGGUAUGAGCGUGGAAUAACCGCCACAAUCGUGACAUUGGUAUAAAGUACUACAGAGGUAAAGUAAGCGAAGACGGAUGCUUUCUGAAUCUCUGUACUUUGAUAUCACUCUGUGUUCAGACAGACUAUGGCCCUGAACCACAAGCCAAA